RNAcentral lists this ribosomal RNA (455 nucleotides) under uncultured organism. Its description in RNAcentral is "partial 16S ribosomal RNA". It matches the Rfam family "Bacterial small subunit ribosomal RNA", at positions 329 to 800 of the family's 1533-position model. The record is from RNAcentral.
ACGUACACUCCUGCGGGAGGCAGCAGUGGGGAAUAUUGGACAAUGGGCGCAAGCCUGAUCCAGCCAUGCCGCGUGAGUGAUGAAGGCCCUAGGGUUGUAAAGCUCUUUCACCGGUGAAGAUAAUGACGGUAACCGGAGAAGAAGCCCCGGCUAACUUCGUGCCAGCAGCCGCGGUAAUACGAAGGGGGCUAGCGUUGUUCGGAUUUACUGGGCGUAAAGCGCACGUAGGCGGACUAUUAAGUCAGGGGUGAAAUCCCGGGGCUCAACCCCGGAACUGCCUUUGAUACUGGGAGUGUUGAGUUCGAGAGAGGUGAGUGGAAUUCCGAGUGUAGAGGUGAAAUUCGUAGAUAUUCGGAGGAACACCAGUGGCGAAGGCGGCUCACUGGCUCGAUACUGACGCUGAGGUGCGAAAGCGUGGGGAGCAAACAGGAUUAGAAACCCCAGUAGUCCCAUGA